Molecule: ribosomal RNA, 253 nt
Filed under: uncultured bacterium
Lineage: Bacteria
Description: partial 16S ribosomal RNA
Rfam family: Bacterial small subunit ribosomal RNA
Source: RNAcentral
UACAGAGGUCUCGAGCGUUAGGCGGAAUCACUGGGCUUAAAGCGUGUGUAGGCGGAUUGGUAAGUACUUUGUGAAAUCCCACGGCUUAACCGUGGAACUGCUUGGUAUACUGCCAGUCUUGAGCCAGCUAGGGGCUACCGGAACAAAUGGUGGAGCGGUGAAAUGCGUAGAGAUCCGGAAGAACACCGGUGGCGAAGGCGGCCUGCUGGGCAGUAGCUGACGCUGAGGCGCGACAGCGUGGGGAGCAAACAGG